This is a long non-coding RNA of Haemorhous mexicanus (house finch), 4774 nucleotides long. RefSeq lists it as uncharacterized. The transcript has 2 exons. The record is from RefSeq and is a predicted model, not a curated record. Lineage: Eukaryota; Metazoa; Chordata; Aves; Passeriformes; Fringillidae.
GCGGGAGCGGGGGGCGGCAGGGGGCUCCGCCUCGCGCCCCGCCCGCGGGCAACGCCGGGGACGGGCGCUAAUGAGGGGCAACGUCCCCUUAAAAAGGAGGGGGGUACGGCGUCGCCGCUGCCCUCGUGGGCGGGCGGAAGAAUUGCCCCUGCGCUGCCCGCCGCGAGGGCAGGGCGCUCCCGCCUGCCCGGGCCGGGCCGGGGGCCUUUCCCAGCGCCCGGGAGGGGCCGCAGCGGUUCCGCCGGAGCAGUCCCUGCCGCCCGACCGCUCCCUCAGUUCCCCUUGCCUCUGGGCACGCGGAGCCGUGCCCUGCUACAGUCACCGAUUACGACGUGAUUUAAGUUUUGCUCCUGCUAUUUUUUGUUUUUGUUUUUUGGUCCCAGCUUUACAGCUUUACUGAAGGAGCUCCGCCUUAACUCGAGGAAGCGGGGACAGGGCCAGGGUGUUCUCCACUCUCAAGAGGAACGCUUCAAGACCCGGUGGUUGAAUGCUCCAUUGUAAUGCCACGUUUGUGUUCGACGGGGCGUUUUGUCCCAGCUUCUCAGGGCGGCUGCGCCCUCUGCGUACUGCACGUUUUGGAACGUACAGUAAGCACACCUGGAAGCGACCUGCGGGGAGAAAAGGACAGGAACUACGGCUUCGUCUCGCCGCAGCAGCCGCGGCUGCUGCGUUUGCAGGCUGGGGAGCGGGCGUCAGAAAGUGUUUUCCCAGGCCUGAGUGUCGCAUGCUUUCUCCAGGGCUGUCAGUGAAGAGCUGGAACGUGAACACCUGCUUCCACACACACUCUCCUGAAAAAAAAGAACGAAUUUGCACGUAGUAGUGCUGUGUCCUAAAAAGACCCCAGAACAAUUUUUCUGCAGAGCCCCGCUCUAGACAAUGCUGUGCAGUGACGCAUACAUGAGGGAUAGGCUCAUAUAUUGUUGGGGUUUUUUUCUUUUCUGUGUCUGUCAUGCUUAGAUUUGCCUUCAAGCAGUUUGUAUUCCUGAUGAGUUGCAGUUUAAACCUGCAUACAAAAUAGAUGUGGUUUAGUCGUGUCAGUUUUGAUGCCUGUAUACCAAAUCUAUAAUCUCAAAACAUACACUCAGCAAUUAAUACCCUAAUGAUGGUAGCUAAAUUAUGUAUGCUUACAGGUCUGGUUUUAAACUCUCUUUACUGCCUACGGAUAUCUGGCUAAGGCCUGCAGCUACUGAACACCUUAAGUCCUUGAUACGACAUGCCACCAAAGUUUUACCAUUGAGAUUUUGCCUUGCAAAGUGACCUUCAAGGACUGAUCCAAUGGAACAGUUAUGGUGGUGAUGAUGAUGAAGGUGGCAUCCAUCUUCUGCUGCUGCCUAAAACUCAGCUGCAAGAUGCACACAGUAGAAAUUCCACCAGUUUCUGAAAUUUGUAACCAAAAUCUGCUCCUCUAUGGUGAGUGCUAUGAUCACUACCAUCUGGAGCAGUUUGUCACAACAGAUUCUUAAUCCUUUUGAAAAAAGAUUUUGCCUAAAUGGCAAAUGCAAAAUGGGCCAAACUAUGUCCAUCCCUGUCACCUUGUUUUUGUACCACCAAAAAUAUCUAUGUGUUAAGUAUUGCAGUACUCAGCCUCCAGCCUACUUGUAUGUGUAGUUUCUGCUGUAAUUUUUAUAUUUACCAAGGUCAUAAUCAGAUUUCUAUGGGGAUUUAGACUUCUAAAUAUUGUUUAAAGAUUUCAUGAUAGAACACCUGCUUAAUUAUGAAAAUGAUGCUUCUCACAUGUCUAAAUCUUCCAUCACUAAAAGUGAUUUUAAAAAAUCAAUCAUGAGCACCGCUUACUAGACAGAGGAGCACUUCCAACUCCUCUGAAAUGGAGGACAAUCACCAUAUGCCUGGACCAAGUCUUGACAUUUAGAAGCAUGGCUGCCAAAUCUAGAAAUGCUUAAGUGGCUGUCACUGAGAGUGUGAAAGCUGUGCAGGAGCAGAACAGAACAAUUCACUCUGCAUAGUUGCAAGCAUCUUUGAAACCUGAUGGGUGUUCACAGUGGAUAUCACUAUCAAAUCCACAAAGUGGAGAAGGAUAAGUCCAGUUAUAAAAUAAAUCAUAAAUCUGAAGAAACUGAAUUCUGAAAGUGACUGCAGGAUUAAUUGUUCCCUGCAUGAGUUUGGCACUAGGUACAAAACCCCAAACCUAAAGGCAAAAGUGUACAGCUUUUUGGUCAAAGCAAUCUCUGGUCUUCUUGCACCGGUCAGUUUACCAGCAAUGUACAUUGAAGCCUCAUUGAAGUGUUUGGUCCUGCUUGCCCAUUGGUCUUAAGUGAAUUUGGGUAGCUAAGCAUUCUGUCAAGAUCCAUGAGACUCAGAAAUUUAAGAGGAAGUGUGCUAUAACUUGCCACUUUUAAAUUAUUUGAAUUAAGAUCAGAAUGUCAUUGUCAUUCUGUUUUCCUCUCUUUUGUCAUUUCUGACAUAGCUUUGAUGGAUCUUUAAAUAUGGGCUGUUUUGUAUUUAAAGUUCCUUGUUUUUUCCUUCUUUUAUGAAAAGUCUUUUAUGCUAGGUUAUGUAACCUGUACUGUUACCUCGGAAGUGGAGAAGCUAGAUUCAAAUGUUUUACACGUAUUGCUAAUGAUUUCUCAUAAGUCAAUCGACUGCAAGAAAUAUUUAGGCAGGUUUGUAUGCAGAGUAAGUGUGCUGAGUUUUGACUGGUGUAGAAAAACCCUUAGAAAAUAUCUCAGCAGAGCCAGAGGCUGCAAAAUGUCACUUCCAUUCUUUUGUCAAGAAAGGCAACUGGUUAUUUCAGUCCUAAUAGUUCAGAACUAGCCUACUUUUGUUUACAUUCAAAAUUUAGAGUCUGAAGUGAACAGAACAAUAUGUGCUUAUAUAGGUACUUAAUUGAAUAAGUGAAAAACCACUGUUUUCCACCUAAGAUUGUCUAACCCACUUUCCUGAGGCUGUUUUAUAUGUACCCCCGCAUAUUCCCUGUCUGGAAUGACUGUAGCUGAAGACCAAGACCGUUGUGCCUGGCACUGCAACUUAUUACAGUUUAUUUUGGGACCAAGUUACAAGGUCACCAUACUUUCUCAGCUGUAUACUCACACACAUACACACAGAGGCACAGACACUCAUAAAAAUAAAGUGUUAAACUGAUAAUCAGCUCAGAAUGCCCCAGAGUAAAUCUUAUAUCUCUAUACAUAUUUAAGUUCACUGUGUAACAAAUGCUCUUCUUAGCUUUCAAAAAGAUAAACUCAGUAUGGUUGUUAGUUGAAUUGAAACUAAGUUUUCUCUGCUUAAAAAUUUUAAUUAUGGUCUUAAGUAAGGUUCUGCUGGUGGAAGAAUGUCACAGCAUGACACACAGUUUUAUGAUCUGCUGUUUUACAAGUGCUAUCGAGUGACCCUGUCUCAGCAAGUUUUUGAAACACUCCCUACCUACAAUUAGUCAUUAGUGAUGUUAGGGAUAUAUUGUUGCUGGUAAGCACAUUAAGAGAAUUUGUGGUACUAUGUAUGCAAUGAUUUAUAUGCCAAUUUAUAUGUGGCUCCCCUGCAAAACAAGAAUUUUCCAUGUUCCAAGCUAUUUUUCAUUGAAGUCUUUUUUAUUUUACAUUGCCAAAGUCACACUUUCUUUAGUUCUUUUGUAGGCAUUGGUGGUUUGGAUUAUGAUCUUUACUUCUGCUUGAUUCACUACAUGCAGAAUUCUUGCAAUGACGCAGUUCUGCAUACAAGAACUGCACUUGGUAUGUGGCAAGAAAACCUGUAUUAGAGUACACUGACACUAUUUUCUGCAGGAAGAAUAAUAGUUUAGUUAUCCUGUACUAGAAGCUGAGUUUGCAAACUUACAUGGUGCAGAAAGGGCUCAGGCAGAUAUUUGCAAUUAAAGUAAAUUUUCCUCGUCAGUGCUUCCUUUCUGCAUUAAAAUCUGUGAACUAGCAGUAACGAAUAUUUUUAUCCAUGGCCAAACCACAACAAAUUCUGUAGGAGGAGAACUUUAACUCUCUUAGAGAAGUCUCAUAAAGUCCUAUGCCAUCAUUAAGUUGUGUUCAAGCCUUUUUAUAAUGUUCAAUAUGUGAGUGCUUCCUAGUCAAGCAACUUAAGUUCUGAGGCCCACCUGCAACAUUUGCUAAAUGCAUAUAGCUAUAAGCCUGCUUAUUCCACAUUUUGUGGUAAUACUCUUAGCUGCAAUAAACAUGAAAUUAAUGCAGUAAGACUUGAACUGACAAAACCAGACCUGAACAAAGCAUUUUCUUACAGUUAUACCUUAUAGUCAGAUUGUGUCCACAUUACAAGUUAUACCCCUGAUAAGAUUACAGUGUUUUUUACUGCAUUUAUUCUUAAGAAACACCUUAGUCUCAGUAACUUAAAAUCCACCACUUGAUUUGCAACAUCAGAUACAAAAUUUUCUUAGUGUACAGGAAACUAAUCAGAUGGUUUUGUAAGAAAAUAAAUGGGCUGGUCUAAGUGCUAAAAUACAGAGUUAUAACGAGGCAGUCAACCACUCACACAACAGAGCCUCUCUUGCAUUGACCCCCAGUAAAAGAACAAGGAUUUCCUUAUCAGGAGUGAUAAAUGUAGUAGAACACGUGCCUUAUCAUUCUACCUUGCCUUUCAAUCUCUCUAACCAGUUUUCAGUGCUUACUGCAAUGUUAGGAGUUUAGUAACCAUAUUAGAAGAUGAGGUGAAUGGACUUAGCAUUCCUUCUUACUACGCAAGAUGCAGUCUGUGGCCUUGAAGGAAAAGAAAGGUCUCCCAGCCCUUGCAAUACCAUUAACAAAUGUCACUAUUUGACACUCUCACACAUAUUAAUUAAUAAAUAAAUCCAAUUCUUUUA